This 424-nucleotide ribosomal RNA is filed under the name Verrucomicrobiota bacterium. Its description in RNAcentral is "Verrucomicrobia bacterium partial 16S ribosomal RNA". It matches the Rfam family "Bacterial small subunit ribosomal RNA", at positions 355 to 776 of the family's 1533-position model. Lineage: Bacteria; Pseudomonadati; Verrucomicrobiota. The record is from RNAcentral.
UGAGGAAUAUUGGUCAAUGGACGAGAGUCUGAACCAGCCAAGUAGCGUGCAGGAUGACGGCCCUAUGGGUUGUAAACUGCUUUUGUUUGGGAAUAAUCGACAUUACGUGUAAUGUUUUGCAUGUACCAUUCGAAUAAGGACCGGCUAAUUCCGUGCCAGCAGCCGCGGUAAUACGGAAGGUCCAGGCGUUAUCCGGAUUUAUUGGGUUUAAAGGGAGUGUAGGCGGUUGGUUAAGCGUGUUGUGAAAUGUAGAUGCUCAACAUCUGACUUGCAGCGCGAACUGGCUGACUUGAGUACACACAACGUAGGCGGAAUUCAUGGUGUAGCGGUGAAAUGCUUAGAUAUCAUGAAGAACUCCGAUUGCGAAGGCAGCUUACGGGAGUGUUAAUGACGCUUAAGCUCGAAGGUGCGGGUAUCGAACAGG